This 253-nucleotide ribosomal RNA is filed under the name uncultured bacterium. RNAcentral describes it as "partial 16S ribosomal RNA". It matches the Rfam family "Bacterial small subunit ribosomal RNA", at positions 524 to 776 of the family's 1533-position model. The record is from RNAcentral.
UACGUAGGGGGCAAGCGUUGUUCGGAAUUAUUGGGCGUAAAGGGCUCGUAGGCGGUUUGUCGCGUCGGGAGUGAAAACCUCGGGCUUAACUCGGGGCUUGCUUUCGAUACGGGCAGACUGGAGGUAUGCAGGGGAGAACGGAAUUCCUGGUGUAGCGGUGAAAUGCGCAGAUAUCAGGAGGAACACCGGUGGCGAAGGCGGUUCUCUGGGCAUUACCUGACGCUGAGGAGCGAAAGUGUGGGGAGCGAACAGG